AGCGAACGCUGGCGGCAGGCUUAACACAUGCAAGUCGAGCGGGCACUUUCGGGUGUCAGCGGCGGACGGGUGAGUAACGCGUGGGAACGUGCCCUCUGGUUCGGAAUAACUCAGGGAAACUUGAGCUAAUACCGGAUACGCCCUUUUGGGGAAAGGCUUGCUGCCGGAGGAUCGGCCCGCGUCUGAUUAGCUAGUUGGUGAGGUAACGGCUCACCAAGGCGACGAUCAGUAGCUGGUCUGAGAGGAUGAUCAGCCACACUGGGACUGAGACACGGCCCAGACUCCUACGGGAGGCAGCAGUAGGGAAUAUUGGACAAUGGGCGCAAGCCUGAUCCAGCCAUGCCGCGUGAGUGAUGAAGGCCUUAGGGUUGUAAAGCUCUUUUAUCCGGGACGAUAAUGACGGUACCGGAGGAAUAAGCCCCGGCUAACUUCGUG
RNAcentral lists this ribosomal RNA (435 nucleotides) under uncultured bacterium. Its description in RNAcentral is "partial 16S ribosomal RNA". It matches the Rfam family "Bacterial small subunit ribosomal RNA", at positions 29 to 507 of the family's 1533-position model. The record is from RNAcentral.